GGGGCUAUAGCUCAGCUGGGAGAGCGCAACGCUGGCAGCGUUGAGGUCAUCGGUUCGAUCCCGAUUAGCUCCA
RNAcentral lists this transfer RNA (73 nucleotides) under Pseudohongiella acticola. It matches the Rfam family "tRNA". Rfam says of the family: Transfer RNA (tRNA) molecules are approximately 80 nucleotides in length. Their secondary structure includes four short double-helical elements and three loops (D, anti-codon, and T loops). Lineage: Bacteria; Pseudomonadati; Pseudomonadota; Gammaproteobacteria; Pseudomonadales; Pseudohongiellaceae. The record is from Rfam by way of RNAcentral.